AGCGGCGGACGGGUGAGUAACACGUGGGCAACCUGCCUGUAAGACUGGGAUAACUCCGGGAAACCGGAGCUAAUACCGGAUAACAUUUUUUCUUGCAUAAGAGAAAAUUGAAAGAUGGUUUCGGCUAUCACUUACAGAUGGGCCCGCGGUGCAUUAGCUAGUUGGUGAGGUAACGGCUCACCAAGGCAACGAUGCAUAGCCGACCUGAGAGGGUGAUCGGCCACACUGGGACUGAGACACGGCCCAGACUCCUACGGGAGGCAGCAGUAGGGAAUCUUCCGCAAUGGACGAAAGUCUGACGGAGCAACGCCGCGUGAGUGAUGAAGGCUUUCGGGUCGUAAAACUCUGUUGUUAGGGAAGAACAAGUACAAGAGUAACUGCUUGUACCUUGACGGUACCUAACCAGAAAGCCACGGCUAACUACGUGCCAGCAGCCGCGGUAAUACGUAGGUGGCAAGCGUUAUCCGGAAUUAUUGGGCGUAAAGCGCGCGCAGGCGGUUUCUUAAGUCUGAUGUGAAAGCCCACGGCUCAACCGUGGAGGGUCAUUGGAAACUGGGGAACUUGAGUGCA
Molecule: ribosomal RNA, 570 nt
Filed under: Priestia flexa
Lineage: Bacteria; Bacillati; Bacillota; Bacilli; Caryophanales; Bacillaceae
Description: bacterial SSU rRNA
Rfam family: Bacterial small subunit ribosomal RNA
Source: RNAcentral